CUUUUGAGAAAUAUCUAUUCAGGUCCUUUGCUCAUUUUUCAUUUUUUUUUUUUUUCACUAUUGACAUAUUGUGUCCGAAAUUGGUGGGUUCUUGGUCUUAAUGACUUCAAAAAUGAAGCCACGGGCCCUCACGGUGAGCGUUACAGUUCUUAAAGAUGGUGUGUCUGGAGUUUGUUCCAUCUGAUGUUUGGACGUGUUUGGAGUUUCUUCCUUCUGGUGGGUUCCUGAUCUCGCUGGCUUCAGCAGUGAAGUUGCAGACCUUCACGCUUUGAGAACUAGAUUAAGUAAUUCCUGCAAGGCAAACCAAGUGAUGAUGAGCUCUCUCAGCUUCUGUUUGUCUGAUAAACUUUCUAUUCUCUCUCACUUCUGAAGGAAAGCUUUGCCAGGGUUUCAUUCAUUUUAAAGCUAACAGAAAAACAACAGAUUUUUAUAAUUAAGUUCCUGAGAAACCAUGAUAAAUACAGCAUUACACAUACUGUCGAUGAUAUUUUGGAUUUUGUAAGACACCAGAGAUCAAAACAUGCCAAAUUGGACUUCUUGUCAUUGUCUAUACAAACAAAACUCACAGACAUCAAAGCCACUAUGACCAUGCUGCUGAUGCAAGGACUGGUCAGAGUGGCCUUAUCUGAUGCUGGUGAUCUCUGGGAUUGUUUAUAUAUUGUUUGCAUUCAACAGAAGAACAACAUGGCCUCAAUGUGGGUGCCAGACCAGCUUUGGGUAUCUUUCCUUCAAAGGAUGACAUACAAUAAAAACAUAUAUGGGAUGAUUACUAUUUGCUUCCAAGAAAAAUAUUGAAGUUUGCUAUUUCUUCAUCUCAAGGUAUGAGAAAACAAAUGUUUGCAUCAGAGUGGUAAAAGAGCUAUAAUAAUUUCAAAUUAACUAAAUGUUCAAUGGCCCUUUCCUUCAGAAAAGUAAAUGCCUCUGAUUUUGUACAACUAUUCUUAAAGUCACACUUUUCUACUCCUUAGACCAUAUAGCAUUCACAGCAUUGUCUUAGGAAAAUAAUGAAUAUAACAGAAGGCUUGUGCAAAAUGUAAAAUAUGCCAUCUCUUUGAGGAAUUGUGACUUUAGCAGUGUAAUAUACUAAUAUUCCAAAAUUGUAGAGAUACUUUUAUUUUUGUAGUUUGUUUUUAAAUCCCUAACUCUUCCUUCUGUGUAUGGAAAAAUCUAAAAGCUGUGAUAAUGAAAUCAAUUUCAUCCAAUACAACAUGAUUUAUAAUGCCUUCUGUACUUUGUAUUAGUUGAGGACAAGGUCAUGAAUCAAUGUAGAUGAAGGUUUUAUUUAACUUAAGCAUCAGUGUUUUUCCUCUGUCAAAAUUUUACUUAUCAGGCUAAUAUUUGAAAAGCAUUCUAAACUUUUUUCUGUUUCUCAAAACUUUAGCUGGAAAUAUUACUUCCCUGUGUUUGGUUGAGCAGAGUAGUAGGCAGUUCUUUGUUACUUAAUACUGUUUUAACAUUUCCUUCACUGCAAUCCCUCUAUUUUAAUAGCUUUAACAAAGGUCACAUUCAGAUUAGCUCAAAUCUAUUAGAGUACACUAUAAUAUGUUGGUUUUUCAUUGAAAAUUUAUUUAGACAUCCAUCUAGGAUUUUAGACCUUCAACCCAAGGAAAAUUUAUAUGAAUACAAUAUUUUUUGCCAUUAUUUACAAAAGUAAUAUAAAGGGUUCCUUAGGCAAUUACUUAUUCAGUAGUAGGAUUUGGAACAGUCUACUUACUAUCAUGUAAUUAUUUCAAUGUGUUACAGUUUUCUUCUGAUUGUAAUUAAUCUCUUUGCAUGAGUAUCAGAUAGAAUGACUAUCUGAUUUGUGGUAACCUGCUGGACUCACAGUGUCCAGUCUGCAGGUGGAGAAAAAUAAAUAUUUUUAUAAGAAAAAUGAAGCCUUCACCUUACCAGAUAAUUUUCACUUUGUCUAAAACAAUACUUUUUUUAUGUUUGAUGUAAUUUUUCACUCAAUUAUAAAGAGUUUUCUCUUCAACAGGAGAACCAAAUCCUUAAUAAAAUCAUUGAGUUUAAGAAGUCUCAAGGGAGAGAUCACAGCUAAUGUCUACUAGUUUACUAGAGGUCCAAAAACAGUACUAUUCACUGGCAAAUACUCAGAAUAUAUUUUUGAUUCGGUUAGAAGUGGUCUGAGUGGUUGUAUGAACUUUAUUUCUAUUUCUACCCUCAUCUCCAACAAAUUCAGAUGACUGUAUAUUAAAUUUUAUCUUAUUAAACUUCAAAUAUUUUCCUGAUUUGAAAGUAAUUUUUGUCAUCUCCUCAUUUGAAGUCACAUAUAAUUCAUGAUUAACUGUGAAAAAGUUUGAAUUUGAAUACUUUCCAGUCCCUUCUUCAGAGCACUUUUGAAUGCUAGCCUCUUGAUCACUGCAGCUGCAAUUGUAAAUAUAUACUGAGCUACCAGAAUCACAGAUAGCACAAACUCUUUAUUUUUUAAGAACCUUAAAAUUCAUUAUAAUUUGCAGGUAAA
RNAcentral lists this long non-coding RNA (2464 nucleotides) under Homo sapiens (human). Its description in RNAcentral is "HSALNT0076464". The record is from RNAcentral. Lineage: Eukaryota; Metazoa; Chordata; Mammalia; Primates; Hominidae.